Molecule: ribosomal RNA, 400 nt
Filed under: uncultured bacterium
Lineage: Bacteria
Description: bacterial SSU rRNA
Rfam family: Bacterial small subunit ribosomal RNA
Source: RNAcentral
UGGGGAAUAUUGCGCAAUGGGGGAAACCCUGACGCAGCGACGCCGUGUGAGGGAAGAAGGCUUUCGGGUCGUAAACCUCUGUCAGAAGGGAAGAACCCUCCAGGUCCGAACAGGGCCUGGAGCUGACGGUACCUUCAAAGGAAGCACCGGCUAACUCCGUGCCAGCAGCCGCGGUAAUACGGAGGGUGCAAGCGUUAAUCGGAAUCACUGGGCGUAAAGCGCGCGUAGGCCGCCUUUUAAGUCGGACGUGAAAGCCCUCGGCUCAACCGAGGAACUGCGUUCGAUACUGGGAGGCUUGAGUCCUGGAGAGGGUGGCGGAAUUCCGGGUGUAGGAGUGAAAUCCGUAGAUAUCCGGAGGAACACCGGUGGCGAAGGCGGCCACCUGGACAGGUACUGACGC